Molecule: ribosomal RNA, 253 nt
Filed under: uncultured bacterium
Lineage: Bacteria
Description: partial 16S ribosomal RNA
Rfam family: Bacterial small subunit ribosomal RNA
Source: RNAcentral
UACGUAGGGUGCAAGCGUUAAUCGGAAUUACUGGGCGUAAAGCGUGCGCAGGCGGUUGUGUAAGACAGGUGUGAAAUCCCCGGGCUUAACCUGGGAACUGCAUUUGUGACUGCAUAGCUAGAGUACGGUAGAGGGGGAUGGAAUUCCGCGUGUAGCAGUGAAAUGCGUAGAUAUGCGGAGGAACACCGAUGGCGAAGGCAAUCCCCUGGACCUGUACUGACGCUCAUGCACGAAAGCGUGGGGAGCAAACAGG